This 540-nucleotide ribosomal RNA is filed under the name Lophotus lacepede (crested oarfish). RNAcentral describes it as "partial 16S ribosomal RNA". It matches the Rfam family "Bacterial large subunit ribosomal RNA", at positions 1846 to 2586 of the family's 2925-position model. The record is from RNAcentral. Lineage: Eukaryota; Metazoa; Chordata; Actinopteri; Lampriformes; Lophotidae.
UAGGAGGCCCGCCUGCCCGGUGACUAUUAGUUUAACGGCCGCGGUAUUAUGACCGUGCAAAGGUAGCGUAAUCACUUGUCCUUUAAAUAGGGACUAGUAUGAAUGGCGAAACGAGGGUGUAACUGUCUCCCCCAUCCGGUCAAUGAAACUGAUCUCCCCGUGCAGAAGCGGGGAUGAACACACAAGACGAGAAGACCCUGUGGAGCUUUAGACCUCUGGAGUAUACCCCUUUUCCCUCAUAUAAAGUUUGGAAACUCUGGGUGUACCCUCCCAAGACUGUCUUUGGUUGGGGCGACCGCGGAGAGAACACUACCCCCCGCGUGGAUGAAGUGAACAACUUUUUAACCUAGAGCUACACCUCUAAGUGUCAGAAUAUAUGGCCUUGAAUGAUCCGACUAUUCGAUCAACGGAACAAGUUACCCCAGGGAUAACAGCGCAAUCCUCUUUCAGAGCCCCUAUCGACAAGAGGGUUUACGACCUCGAUGUUGGAUCAGGACAUCCUAAUGGUGUAGCCGCUAUUAAGGGUUCGUUUGUUCAACG